UACGGGGGGGGCAAGCGUUGUUCGGAAUUACUGGGAGUAAAGGGCUCGUAGGUGGCCAACUAAGUCAGACGUGAAAUCCCUCGGCUUAACCGGGGAACUGCGUCUGAUACUGGAUGGCUUGGGAUUGGGAGAGGGAUGCGGAAUUCCAGGUGUAGCGGUGAAAUGCGUAGAUAUCUGGAGGAACACCGGUGGCGAAGGCGGCAUCCUGGACCAACACUGACACUGAGGAGCGAAAGCCAGGGGAGCAAACGGG
RNAcentral lists this ribosomal RNA (253 nucleotides) under uncultured bacterium. RNAcentral's name for it is "partial 16S ribosomal RNA". It matches the Rfam family "Bacterial small subunit ribosomal RNA", at positions 524 to 776 of the family's 1533-position model. The record is from RNAcentral.